AUUGAACGCUGGCGGCAGGCCUAACACAUGCAAGUCGAGCGAGCGGCGGACGGGUGAGUAAUGUAUGGGGACUGCCCGAUAGAGGGGGAUAACUACUGGAAACGGUAGCUAAUACCGCAUACUAUCGGAUAACCCAUAUGGGAUUAGCUAGUAGGUGAGGUAAUGGCUCACCUAGGCGACGAUCCCUAGCUGGUCUGAGAGGAUGAUCAGCCACACUGGGACUGAGACACGGCCCAGACUCCUACGGAGGCAGCAGUGGGGAAUAUUGGACAAUGGGGGAAAGCCUGAUGCAGCCAUGCCGCGUGUAUGAUGAAGGCCUUAGGGUUGUAAAGUACUUUUAGUAGAGAAGCGGUAUCGACAGAAGAAGCACCGGCUAACUCCGUGCCAGCAGCCGCGGUAAUUC
RNAcentral lists this ribosomal RNA (403 nucleotides) under uncultured bacterium. RNAcentral's name for it is "partial 16S ribosomal RNA". It matches the Rfam family "Bacterial small subunit ribosomal RNA", at positions 30 to 526 of the family's 1533-position model. The record is from RNAcentral.